RNAcentral lists this ribosomal RNA (497 nucleotides) under uncultured bacterium. Its description in RNAcentral is "partial 16S ribosomal RNA". It matches the Rfam family "Bacterial small subunit ribosomal RNA", at positions 28 to 507 of the family's 1533-position model. The record is from RNAcentral.
GAUGAACGCUGGCGGCGUGCCUAACACAUGCAAGUCGAGCGGACAGACGAGGCUCUUGCUCGUCUGACGUUAGCGGCGGGCGGGUGAGUCACACGUGUAUACCCUACCUAUAAGACUGAGAUCACUUCGGGAAACCGGAGCUAACACCGGAUAAGAUAUUGAACCGCGUGGUUCAUUGGUGAAAGACGGCUUUGCUGUCACUUAUCGCGGCAUCCGCGCCGGAUUAGCUAGUUGGUACGGUAACGGCUUACCAAGGCUACGAUGCGUAGCCGACCUGAGAGGGUGAUCGGCCACACUGGAACUGAGACACGGUCCAGACUCCUACGGGAGGCAGCAGUAGGGAAUCUUCCGCAAUGGGCGAAAGCUUGACGGAGCAACGCCGCGUGAGUGAUGAAGGUCUUCGGAUCGUAAAGCUCUGUUAUUAGGGAAGAACAAAUGUGUAAUUAAAUAUGCACGUCUUGACGGUACCUAAUCAGAAAGCCCCGGCUAACUACGUG